GGUAGCUAGUUUUGUGUCAAGCGCAGGAUUUCUGCGCUAGCAGGAAAUGAGUCACAAUGACCCAAAUAACACUGACCCACACAAGACAUGAAUAACAUUAUCAUAAAUUAUUUUAAAAUGGAUGUAAAGGAAAUGGUGUUUAGAAAGCUGAACUAUGUCUUAAAGGAGGAGCGGUUGGCAGCUAUCAAGGCUUUCCUCGAAGGAAGAGAUGUUUUCAUAGUGCUACCCACUGGCUAUGGAAAGUCUUUGUGUUAUAUGUCUCUUCCAAGUCUUAUUGACCAUUCAGUAAUUUACCACAUCUCUGCACCUUUCUGCUGCUGGAUCACAUCUGUUUUUGCUCUCUUUGCUUAAGUCUUUACCACAGCCUAAACAUACAACGACGGUCAUGUUUACACACGUAUGGGCGGUGCUCAUUUUCAGCCCCACCUAUAUGCAUGCUGUCAGCUCCACCCGUGACACAAAACUAGCUACCGUACUGAACCUGACUCUCUGUUUUUCCGCGAGAGGCAGGAUCCACCUGACUAGGACAGGACCAUAUUCCACAAUUAGUAACGAAACAAUACAAUAUUGAUUACACAAUCUCGCUAAAGCCACAUCCAUUACCGACAUUUUAUAAAGUAGAGGACAUUGUAUUAUUAAUGCAGUUCAUUUAUGUUGACCUCCUUAACCUGUUUGACUGGUUUAACAGUUAGUGGAGUACAUGUACAUGUAUACAUGUAGUCUUCCUUUUUGUAGAAUUGCUGUCAAAUGAUGUCAAGUUAUUUUUUAUGCCAAGAUUUGAGCGUAAAGAUAGAAAGGAUAAUUUGAUACCAGCGUCAAUGUGCAACAUUAUGGAAUCAUUAAUAUCAUUUUAUAAACCAUUAUCACUUCCUAGACUUGCUUCUGUUACUAAAGAGCUGGCAGUUUUCAAGACAAUACAGCAACUGUAUCAUACAUGAUAGUAACAAGAAUAGACAGUAUUAAUUGGCACUCUCGUGAUUCAGAGGCCAUUCUUGUUCACUUGUGUCAUUUUGUUCCUGACAGUCACACCACAUCCUCUCCUGAUACAGUAAACAGUACAGGAAGACAUCAUUGACCACACAAGCACAAACAGCAGGAAGGAACAAGAUAUACAUGUAGCAGGAAACAUACGAGGGAGACUGUUGUUGAGCUUCGAAGCAGUUCUAGUUAUCAUUUCACAGGAAUAUUCACUGACUGCACACAACUGGCUCUACUCUGCCCCCAGUUGUCUUCUCAUUUAUUGUUUCAUUUAUUUUUGGUAGAUUUGGAGGCUGGUAUUAAUUAUAAGUUUAAAGACAGGAGUCUUCUAGAAGUUAGAAGAAAGAUAGAGAGAGAGAGAGAGAGAUGAUUAUGAUUUUCUAUUAUUCAGUUAGCCCUGACCCACACUUCCUUCAUUACUCAAUACAAUGGUUCUCGGCCCCUACCUAAUGAAAUACUCAUAUCAUUAUCAAACUGUGGUACAAGGGCUCAUGUUUCCACAGCAACAGGUAAGGCCCCACCCUCAAAGAGACCAAAGAGCAGAAUAGAAGGAUUGACAGAAGCUGCUGAAACCAGUCGUGAGAAAUACAAGGAGGAUGAAGGAGAUGUUGUAUUACCAAGAGAUAAGAGAGACUUGAGUUUCUUGGAGAUGCUGUAAUUGAGUUUUUGUGUAGUAUUCAGUUAUAUCUCAUGUUUCCCUCUUUCACUGAUUCUCAUCUUGUUAUCUUCAGAAAGGCUCUAAUAUGUAACCAGAACCUAGCCAGUGUUGCCAAAAGAAUACAUCUUGAGAAAUAUUUAUUAAUGGAUGUCAAUUUCAAAAAUGCUGAUAUAAAUCACAUAUAUGCUAAUACUUUGAAGCACUCGUUGGUGCUGUAUAUAAAGACUCUGAUAUUAACACAUCCACACUUCUCUUCCCUGAAGAAGAUCUAAGAGAGAUAUGGCUCUCUGAGUAUAAGGAUCAACUACAGGUGGACUGAUGGAGAUAGGCACGUGGUUAAUGAGUAUCCCAUUUUAAAUUCUUUCAAUAAACUUGAGGAAUCCAUUUGAGUUAGAUUCACCAAUAUUAGAUUGCUAGCCAGAGCUAUUACCCAUCCAUCAUAUGGAUGUACCGAUGACAACUCCCACAUGUGGAAACAGUAUAUUUUUCUAUAAAUGCACCUAAAGAAUAAAUAUAAUAUAUGCAACAACAAAAAUGUACCCAACAGAUAAGUGUAUUAAUUUCUGACUAGUUAAAGAUACCAUACACCAUAGUGACUAUACACACAAA
This 2245-nucleotide long non-coding RNA is filed under the name Amphimedon queenslandica. RNAcentral's name for it is "uncharacterized LOC109586565, transcript variant X4". The record is from RNAcentral. Lineage: Eukaryota; Metazoa; Porifera; Demospongiae; Haplosclerida; Niphatidae.